AACUAACGCUGGCGGCGUGCCUAACACAUGCAAGUCGUACGAGAAAGCCGGCUUCGGCUGGUGAGUAAAGUGGCGCACGGGUGAGUAACGCGUGGAUAAUCUGCCCUUAAGUGUGGAAUAACGUACCGAAAGGUGCGCUAAUACCGCAUAAUGCCUGGCAACACAAGUUGUCCGGCCAAAGAAGGCCUCUGUUUACAAGCUUUCGCUUCAGGAUGAGUCCGCGUACCAUUAGCUUGUUGUGGGGUAAUGGCCUACCAAGGCUGCGAUGGUUAGCUGGUCUGAGAGGAUGAUCAGCCACACUGGAACUGAGACACGGUCCAGACUCCUACGGGAGGCAGCAGUGAGGAAUAUUGCGCAAUGGGGGCAACCCUGACGCAGCAACGCCGCGUGAGUGAGGAAGGUUUUCGGACUGUAAAGCUCUGUCGAGCGGGAAGAAGUGUACCAUGGCUAAGUAUCCAUGACUAUUUGACGGUACCGCUACGAGG
RNAcentral lists this ribosomal RNA (485 nucleotides) under uncultured bacterium. RNAcentral's name for it is "bacterial SSU rRNA". It matches the Rfam family "Bacterial small subunit ribosomal RNA", at positions 29 to 488 of the family's 1533-position model. The record is from RNAcentral.